AGGUGUGGGAGGUGUCGACUCCUUCCGUGCCGAAGCUAACGCAUUAAGUGCCCCGCCUGGGGAGUACGGCCGCAAGGCUAAAACUCAAAGGAAUUGACGGGGGCCCGCACAAGCAGCGGAGCAUGUGGUUUAAUUGGAUGCAACGCCAAGAACCUUACCAAGGCUUGACAUGGUCGGGAAAACCGGAGAAAUUCGGUCCUCCUUCGGGACUCGAUCACAGGUGGUGCAUGGCUGUCGU
Molecule: ribosomal RNA, 238 nt
Filed under: uncultured bacterium
Lineage: Bacteria
Description: partial 16S ribosomal RNA
Rfam family: Bacterial small subunit ribosomal RNA
Source: RNAcentral